CCUACGGGAGACAGCAGUGAGGAAUAUUGGUCAAUGGGCGCAAGCCUGAACCAGCCAAGUCGCGUGAGGGAUGACGGUCCUAUGGAUUGUAAACCUCUUUUGUCGGGGAGCAAGGCGCGCCACGUGUGGCGGGAAGGAGAGUACCCGAAGAAAAAGCAUCGGCUAACUCCGUGCCAACAGCCGCGGUAAUACGGAGGAUGCGGGCGUUAUCCGGAUUUAUGGGGUUUAAAGGGUGCGUAGGAGGGAGGUUAAGUCGGGGGGGAAAGUCUGUGGCUCAACCAUAGAAUUGCCGUUGAAACUGGGAGGCUUGAGUAUGGUUGAGGCAGGCGGAAUGCGUGGUGUAGCGGUGAAAUGCUUAGAUAUCACGCAGAACCCCGAUUGCGAAGGCAGCCUGCCAAGCCGUGACUGACGCUGAUGCACGAAAGCGUGGGGAUCAAACAGGAUUAGAUACCCCAGUAGUC
This 461-nucleotide ribosomal RNA is filed under the name uncultured bacterium. RNAcentral's name for it is "partial 16S ribosomal RNA". It matches the Rfam family "Bacterial small subunit ribosomal RNA", at positions 338 to 795 of the family's 1533-position model. The record is from RNAcentral.